AAUCAGAAAUAGGGUUCUCAGUUAACAUAGUACCAGCAAAGUUAGCAGCAUAUAUGGGAGGAGGAGUUUGAGCAGUGGAAUCCCCUAACUUGGUCUGGUGUAAUAAAUUCAUCAACUGGUCAUAAUCUUGUCUGCUCAACCCUGGUAUCACAGAGCUCUGGCCAACUAUUUUUGCAAUAGGUUGAUGGCUUUCAGGAGGAUACCCUUGGGGAACAGACAAAAGUCCUUCAGAACGAGGAAAAUCCAGACCAGUACUAAAAUGAGCAGCAGCAGGUCUCCUCCCCUUGUUAAAAUUCGUACUUUAUGGAUACCCAUGGAUCUUGAAACACUUAUCAAUUAAGUGUCCAGAUUUUUUACAGUAUCUACAGAAUAAAGAUCCUCUGGCUUGAUCAAAAUUGACUCUUUGUCUGAAAGGAGAAGAAGGACUAGGCACUGUGGCCUUGUUAAAUCCAACAGGCUGCCUAUUAGUAUGAACAUUGAAAGAGACAGAGUCUGGAUUAAAGUGAGAAGAAGACUGGAAGAGUAGGCACUAUGGCCUUGUUAAAUCCAACAGGCUGCCUAUUAGUAUGGACAUUGAAAGAGACAGAGCUUGGAUUGAAGUGAGAAGAAGAUUGGACUUGUCUUUUUUUCUCAUCAUUGAGGACCAUAUUAUAGACAUUGUCAAGAGAAGGAGGAGGCUGCAUCAUCAANN
This 691-nucleotide long non-coding RNA is filed under the name Nicotiana benthamiana. RNAcentral's name for it is "long non-coding RNA (NBEN_LNC007725)". Lineage: Eukaryota; Viridiplantae; Streptophyta; Magnoliopsida; Solanales; Solanaceae. The record is from RNAcentral.